UGGGGAAUAUUGCACAAUGGAGGGAACUCUGAUGCAGCGACGCCGCGUGAACGAAGAAGGCUUUCGAGUCGUAAAGUUCUUUUAUAUGGGAAGAUAAUGACGGUACCAUAAGAAAAAGCCCCGGCUAACUACGUGCCAGCAGCCGCGGUAAUACGUAGGGGGCUAGCGUUUUCCGGAAUCACUGGGCGUAAAGGGUUCGCAGGCGGAAAUGCAAGUCAGGUGUAAAAGGCAGUAGCUUAACUACUGUAAGCAUUUGAAACUGCAUAUCUUGAGAAGAGUAGAGGUAAGUGGAAUUUUUAGUGUAGCGGUGAAAUGCGUAGAUAUUAAAAAGAAUACCGGUGGCGAAGGCGGCUUACUGGGCUCAUUCUGACGCUGAGGAACGAAAGCGUGGGUAGCAAACAGG
RNAcentral lists this ribosomal RNA (403 nucleotides) under bacterium. RNAcentral's name for it is "partial 16S ribosomal RNA". It matches the Rfam family "Bacterial small subunit ribosomal RNA", at positions 355 to 776 of the family's 1533-position model. The record is from RNAcentral.